GAUGAACGCUAGCGACAGGCUUAACACAUGCAAGUCGAGGGGCAGCACGGGAGUAGCAAUACAACUGGUGGCGACCGGCGCACGGGUGAGUAACGCGUAUGUAACCUACCUAUCAGAGGGGAAUAACCCGGCGAAAGUCGGACUAAUACCGCAUAAAACAGGGGCACCGCAUGGUGCUAUUUGUUAAAGAAAUUCGCUGAUAGAUGGGCACGCGUUCCAUUAGGUAGUUGGUGAGGUAACGGCUCACCAAGCCGACGAUGGAUAGGGGAACUGAGAGGUUGGUCCCCCACACUGGUACUGAGACACGGACCAGACUCCUACGGGAGGCAGCAGUGAGGAAUAUUGGUCAAUGGGCGAGAGCCUGAACCAGCCAAGUCGCGUGAAGGAAGAAGGAUCUAUGGUUCGUAAACUUCUUUUGCAGGGGAAUAAAGUGCAGGACGUGUCCUGUUUUGUAUGUACCUUAUGAAUAAGGACCGGCUAAUUCCGUGCCAGCAGCCGCGGUAA
RNAcentral lists this ribosomal RNA (504 nucleotides) under uncultured bacterium. RNAcentral describes it as "partial 16S ribosomal RNA". It matches the Rfam family "Bacterial small subunit ribosomal RNA", at positions 28 to 523 of the family's 1533-position model. The record is from RNAcentral.